This 245-nucleotide ribosomal RNA is filed under the name uncultured bacterium. RNAcentral describes it as "partial 16S ribosomal RNA". It matches the Rfam family "Bacterial small subunit ribosomal RNA", at positions 524 to 768 of the family's 1533-position model. The record is from RNAcentral.
CACGGGGGGAGCAAGCGUUGUUCGGAAUCACUGGGCGUAAAGGGCGUGUAGGCGGUCAGGUAAGUGGAACGUGAAAUGCCCCGGCUCACCCGGGGACCUGCGUCCCAAACUGCCUGGCUUGAGUAUGGGAGAGGAUGAGGGAAUUCCUGGUGUAGCGGUGAAAUGCGUAGAUAUCAGGAGGAACACCGGUGGCGAAGGCGCUCAUCUGGCCCAAUACUGACGCUGAUGCGCGAAAGCUAGGGGAG